GACGAACGCUGGCGGCGUGCUUAACACAUGCAAGUCGUACGACAGCAUUUCCUUUUAGGUUGUGUUUGGAGUGGCGAACGGGUGAGUAACACGUGAGUGACCUGCCCUUCACUUUGGGAUAACGUGCGGAAACGUGCGCUAAUACCAAAUAUUCGCAUUUCUGCUGCAUGGUGGGGUGUGGAAAGGGGCCUUCGGGUUCGUGGUGGGGGAGUGGGCGUCGCGGCCUAUCAGCNGUGUUGGUGGGGUGAUGGCCUACCAAGGCGUGGACGGGUAGCCGGCCUGAGAGGGUGUUCGGUCACACUGGGACUGAGAUACGGCCCAGACUCCUACGGAGGCAGCAGUGGGGGAUUUUGCACAAUGGACGAAAGUCUGAUGCAGUGACGCCGCGUGGGGGAUGACGGCCUCGG
This 407-nucleotide ribosomal RNA is filed under the name uncultured bacterium. Its description in RNAcentral is "bacterial SSU rRNA". It matches the Rfam family "Bacterial small subunit ribosomal RNA", at positions 28 to 420 of the family's 1533-position model. The record is from RNAcentral.